This 254-nucleotide ribosomal RNA is filed under the name uncultured bacterium. RNAcentral's name for it is "partial 16S ribosomal RNA". It matches the Rfam family "Bacterial small subunit ribosomal RNA", at positions 524 to 776 of the family's 1533-position model. The record is from RNAcentral.
UACGGGGGGAGCAAGCGUUGUUCGGAUUUACUGGGCGUAAAGGGCGCGUAGGCGGCCACCGCAAGUCGACUGUGAAAUCUCCGGGCUUAACCCGGAAAGGUCAGCCGAUACUGCGGGGCUAGAGUGCAGAAGGGGCAACUGGAAUUCCUGGUGUAGCGGUGAAAUGCGCAGAUAUCAGGAGGAACACCGGUGGCGAAGGCGGGUCUCUGGGCCGUAACUGACGCUGAGGAGCGAAAGCGUGGGGAGCGAACAGG